Molecule: ribosomal RNA, 253 nt
Filed under: uncultured bacterium
Lineage: Bacteria
Description: partial 16S ribosomal RNA
Rfam family: Bacterial small subunit ribosomal RNA
Source: RNAcentral
UACGUAGGGUGCAAGCGUUAAUCGGAAUUAUUGGGCGUAAAGAGAGCGUAGGCUGGUGUAUAAGUUAGAUGUGAAAUACCUGAGCUUAACUUGGGAACGGCAUUUAAAACUGUACGCCUAGAGUUUGUCAGAGGGAGGUAGAAUUCCAAGUGUAGCAGUGAAAUGCGUAGAGAUUUGGAGGAAUAUCAGUGGCGAAGGCGGCCUCCUGGGACAUGACUGACGCUGAGGUUCGAAAGCGUGGGUAGCAAACAGG